Non-coding RNA from Oryza glaberrima (African rice), 211 nucleotides. Lineage: Eukaryota; Viridiplantae; Streptophyta; Magnoliopsida; Poales; Poaceae. The record is from Rfam.
AAUAAGUGUAGUCGAUUAGUUUCAGCGCUCAACUUUAACUUUGAUCGUUCGUUUUAUUUAAAAAAAUUUUAUAAUAAACAUUUUUGUUGUUAUAAAGUAAUAAAACAUAAAUAGUAUUUUACUCGUGACUUAUGUUUUUAAUUUUUUUAAAAAAAAUUUAAAUAAGACGAAUGGUUAAAGUUAGACGCGGAAAACCAUGGCUGCACUUAUU